AGAGAGAGAGAGAGAGAGAGAGAGAGAGAGAGAGAAAACCCCAUCACCACCCCAUGACAGACCUUUCCCCUGUCCCAUCACCCCAUCGUACAUGCAUUACCCCCAACAAAACACUAAUAUUGAUGACGGCUUGUAUCUAUUUCAGUCUAACACUGCGCCACUUCAAUGAGGUGGUCAGGUGGCAAUGCUCAGGAGUCGAGAAUGUUUCGAAUCCCCUUGUUGUAGUGCGCGAGACUUCGAGAUGCACGCAGGAUGGCGACAAGGGGCUCCAGUUACUAGUGAACACCCCCGCGACCACACACCUCAGCCAGGAAAGAAAGUAUCAGGGAAAAAGGCAACAGGAAGAAAAGUAACGAAAUUAAAAGUUUACAAAAUGUAACAAGAAAAUAAAUGCUUUGACUUUAUUUCCUAGCCAAAAUUGUUUUUUUUUUCCAUUAUUUUUUCCCUGAUGCUUUCUUCCCGAUCGCCACCUCAGCCACCUCGCUUGCCACGCCUCUACAACCACACUCUGACCGCCAUAUGUAUGGCGGCAAUUGCAGCAGAAGCAGAAGGGGAGGGGACGGCGGUAGCGGUCUUGCUCCUCCUGAAGACGCUGUUAGCAGAGGGCCUCAUUGCGCAGAUUAAGGAGCGAGAGAGCGGUAAAGGGGGCCACGCAGCACAUCACUGAGGCACAUUAUGAAAGUGGAAAUGUGGCGGUGGUGGGUUAGUGGCCCUAGGGAACCGGGAAAAGGAUGAACGCUACCGCCCUGAUUCUCUGCUCUGAUAAAGG
Long non-coding RNA from Portunus trituberculatus (swimming crab), 769 nucleotides. RefSeq lists it as uncharacterized. The transcript has 4 exons. Lineage: Eukaryota; Metazoa; Arthropoda; Malacostraca; Decapoda; Portunidae. The record is from RefSeq and is a predicted model, not a curated record.